GACGAACGCUGGCGGCGUGCUUAACACAUGCAAGUCGAACGGAAAGGCCCUGCUUUUGUGGGGUGCUCGAGUGGCGAACGGGUGAGUAACACGUGAGUAACCUGCCCUUGACUUUGGGAUAACUUCAGGAAACUGGGGCUAAUACCGGAUAGGAGCUCCUGCUGCAUGGUGGGGGUUGGAAAGUUUCGGCGGUUGGGGAUGGACUCGCGGCUUAUCAGCUUGUUGGUGGGGUAGUGGCUUACCAAGGCUUUGACGGGUAGCCGGCCUGAGAGGGUGACCGGCCACAAUAGGACUGAGAUACGGCCCAGACUCCUACGGGAGGCAGCAGUGGGGAAUAUUGCACAAUGGGCGGAAGCCUGAUGCAGCAACGCCGCGUGCGGGAUGACGGCCUUCGGGUUGUAAACCGCUUUCGCCUGUGACGAAGCGUGAGUGACGGUAAUGGGUAAAGAAGCACCGGCUAACUACGUG
This 468-nucleotide ribosomal RNA is filed under the name uncultured bacterium. RNAcentral describes it as "partial 16S ribosomal RNA". It matches the Rfam family "Bacterial small subunit ribosomal RNA", at positions 28 to 507 of the family's 1533-position model. The record is from RNAcentral.